Molecule: microRNA precursor, 105 nt
Filed under: Canis lupus familiaris (dog)
Lineage: Eukaryota; Metazoa; Chordata; Mammalia; Carnivora; Canidae
Also listed under: 1 other name
Description: mir-8834 microRNA precursor family
Rfam family: mir-8834 microRNA precursor family
Source: Rfam by way of RNAcentral
AGGAGGAAUAGCCCCAGUGGCGGGGCCAGCUCUGGAGCCCUGGAUUCCGCCCCCGCAGUAACUACAGAGCUCUGUGUCUGCAGGGCCUGGAGGCUCCGGGGCAGU